This 202-nucleotide long non-coding RNA is filed under the name Elaeis guineensis (African oil palm). RNAcentral describes it as "long non-coding RNA (EGUI_LNC019967)". Lineage: Eukaryota; Viridiplantae; Streptophyta; Magnoliopsida; Arecales; Arecaceae. The record is from RNAcentral.
GUAGCCACCUUCAAGCAAAUGGAGAAGUCGAGGUAAUAAAUUGGAGCAUUUUAUAAGGUCUAAAGAUAAGAUUGGAUAGAGCCAAAAGAUCUUGGACCAACAAACUUUACUAUAUGCUCUGGACAUAUCAAAACAACACCGAGAGUUUCGAUAGGAGAAAAUCCUUUUAGCCUGACUUUUGGGAUGAAAGUAGUGAUCCCUG